RNAcentral lists this ribosomal RNA (1469 nucleotides) under uncultured Bordetella sp. RNAcentral describes it as "partial 16S-23S ribosomal RNA intergenic spacer". It matches the Rfam family "Bacterial small subunit ribosomal RNA". Lineage: Bacteria; Pseudomonadati; Pseudomonadota; Betaproteobacteria; Burkholderiales; Alcaligenaceae. The record is from RNAcentral.
UACACCUGGGAGAGCUUGAUUAUGGUCGGGAUGAACGCUGGCGGCGUGCUUAACACAUGCAAGUCGAACGGUGAACACGGAGCUUGCUCUGUGGGAUCAGUGGCGAACGGGUGAGCAACACGUGAGCAACCUGCCCCGACUCUGGAUAAAGCGCUGGAAACGGCGUCUAAUACUGGAUAUGUGACGUGAUCGCAUGGUCUGCGUCUGGAAAGAAUUUCGGUUGGGGAUGGGCUCGCGGCCUAUCAGCUUGUUGGUGAGGUAAUGGCUCACCAAGGCGUCGACGGGUAGCCGGCCUGAGAGGGUGACCGGCCACACUGGGACUGAGACACGGCCCAGACUCCUACGGAGGCAGCAGUGGGGAAUAUUGCACAAUGGGCGCAAGCCUGAUGCAGCAACGCCAUGUGAGGGACGACGGCCUUCGGGUUGUGGAACUUUUUAGCAGGGAAGAAGCGAAAGUGACGGUACCUGCAGAAAAAGCGCCGGCUAACUACGUGCCAGCAGCCGCGGUAAUACGUAGGGCAAGCGUUAUCCGGAAUUCGGGCGUAAAGAGCUCGUAGGCGGUUUGUCGCGUCUGCUGUGAAAUCCGGAGGCUCAACCUCCGGCCUGCAGUGGGUACGGGCAGACUAGAGUGGUUAGAGGGAGGUAAAUUCCGCGUAGCAGUGAAAUGCGUAGAUAUGCGGAGGAACACCGGGAUGGCGAAGGCAGCUUCCUGGGAUAACACUGACGCUCAUGCACGAAAGCGUGGGGAGCAAACAGGAUUAGAUACCCUGUAGUCCACGCCCUAAACGAUGUCAACUAGCUGUUGGGGCCUUCGGGCUCGGUAGCGCAGCUAACGCGUGAAGUUGACCGCCUGGGGAGUACGGCCUGCAAGAUUAAAACUCAAAGGAAUUGACGGGGACCCGCACAAGCGGUGGAUGAUGUGGAUUAAUUCGAUGCAACGCGAAAAACCUUACCUACCCUUGACAUGUCUGGAAUCCCGAAGAGAUUUGGGAGUGCUCGCAAGAGAACCGGAACACAGGUGUUGCAUGGCUGUCGUCAGCUCGUGUCGUGAGAUGUUGGGUUAAGUCCCGGUAACGAGCAACCCUUGUCAUUAGUUACAUGAAAGGGCACUCUAAUGAGACUGCCGGUGACAAACCGGAGGAAGGUGGGAUGACGUCAAGUCCUCAUGGCUCCUAUGGGUAGGGCUUCACACGUCAUACAAUGGUCGGGACAGAGGGUCGCCAACCCGCGAGGGGGAGCCAAUCCCAGAAACCCGAUCGUAGUCCGGAUCGCAGUCGCAACUCGACUGCGUGAAGUCGGAAUCGCUAGUAAUCGCGGAUCAGCAUGUCGCGGUGAAUACGUUCCCGGGUCUUGUACACACCGCCCGUCACACCAUGGGAGUGGGUUUACCAGAAGUAGUUAGCCUAACCGUAAGGAGGGCGAUUACCACGGUAGGAUUCAUGACUGGGGUGAAGUCGUAACAAGGUAAC